RNAcentral lists this small RNA (298 nucleotides) under Pan troglodytes (chimpanzee). RNAcentral's name for it is "processed transcript". The record is from RNAcentral. Lineage: Eukaryota; Metazoa; Chordata; Mammalia; Primates; Hominidae.
GAUCAUGACAAUGUCAAGUAUUUGAAGAAAAUUCUUGAUGAGUUGGAGAAGGUCUUGGAUCAGGUUGAAACUGAAUUGCAAAGAAGAAAUGAAGAAACCCCAGCUUCUCAUAUGCAGCAUACUGGUGGAAGGACAGCUCACCUGGUGCCAAAGACAACAGUGGACUUGGCAGAGCUUGCUGCCUUGACAGUGUAUCAAUAGCAGAGCUGAUCUGGCACCUGCCAGUUGGGUUUAUUUCAGCAAACCCACUUUAAAAAUUUUAUUAGCAAAUAAUGAAUAAAUAGGUUUGGAGACUUUC